AGAACCAACUGGAGCACCCAAACCUUUUGAUAAACACACCGAAACAGAAUCUGCAGCUUGUACAAGCCUAUGAACGGGAACUCCCAGCGCAACAGAAGCAUUGAAGAUGCGAGCUCCAUCAAUGUGAAGCUUCAAGCCGUAUUUUUUAGCUAGCUCCCCUACUCUAUCUGUAUAUUCUACAGAGAUGCAUCGCCCCCCAGAGUUAGCAUGAGUGUUCUCCAAGCAAAUAAGCCUCGUCGUCGGAAAGUACAGCUCUCCCGCCGGAUGCCGCACCGCCGCCUCGAUCGCCGCCAGCGCCAUCGUCCCAUCCGCCUCGUUCUUCACCGUCUUCGGGUGAACCCCGCCGAUCGUGGCGAUCCCGCCGUUCUCGAAGAUAUGAAUGUGUGAGUUGUCGCCGAGGAUGACUUCGCUGCCGCGGACGUCGCAGUGGACGAGGACGGAGAUGAGGUUCCCCAUGGUGCCGGAGGGGACGAAGAGGGCGGCGUCCUUGCGGAAGAGGAGGGCGAGGUCGGAUUCGAG
Molecule: unclassified non-coding RNA, 519 nt
Filed under: Hevea brasiliensis (rubber tree)
Lineage: Eukaryota; Viridiplantae; Streptophyta; Magnoliopsida; Malpighiales; Euphorbiaceae
Source: RNAcentral